GACGAACGCUGGCGGCGUGCUUAACACAUGCAAGUCGAACGGAAAGGCCCUGCUUUUGUGGGGUGCUCGAGUGGCGAACGGGUGAGUAACACGUGAGUAACCUGCCCUUGACUUUGGGAUAACUUCAGGAAACUGGGGCUAAUACCGGAUAGGAGCUCCUGCUGCAUGGUGGGGGUUGGAAAGUUCCGGCGGUUGGGGAUGGACUCGCGGCUUAUCAGCUUGUUGGUGGGGUAGUGGCUUACCAAGGCUUUGACGGGUAGCCGGCCUGUGAGGGUGACCGGCCACAUUGGGACUGAGAGACGGCGCAGACGCCUACGGGAGGCAGCAGUGGGGAAUAUUGCACAGUGGGGGGAAGCCUGAUGCAGCAACGCCGCGUGCGGGAUGACGGCCUUCGGGUUGUAAACCGCUUUCGCCUGUGACGAAGCGUGAAUGACGGUAAUGGGUAAAGAAGCACCGGCUAACUACGUG
RNAcentral lists this ribosomal RNA (468 nucleotides) under uncultured bacterium. RNAcentral describes it as "partial 16S ribosomal RNA". It matches the Rfam family "Bacterial small subunit ribosomal RNA", at positions 28 to 507 of the family's 1533-position model. The record is from RNAcentral.